Molecule: ribosomal RNA, 293 nt
Filed under: Staphylococcus aureus
Lineage: Bacteria; Bacillati; Bacillota; Bacilli; Caryophanales; Staphylococcaceae
Description: partial 16S ribosomal RNA
Rfam family: Bacterial small subunit ribosomal RNA
Source: RNAcentral
CGCGGUAAUACGUAGGUGGCAAGCGUUAUCCGGAAUUAUUGGGCGUAAAGCGCGCGUAGGCGGUUUUUUAAGUCUGAUGUGAAAGCCCACGGCUCAACCGUGGAGGGUCAUUGGAAACUGGAAAACUUGAGUGCAGAAGAGGAAAGUGGAAUUCCAUGUGUAGCGGUGAAAUGCGCAGAGAUAUGGAGGAACACCAGUGGCGAAGGCGACUUUCUGGUCUGUAACUGACGCUGAUGUGCGAAAGCGUGGGGAUCAAACAGGAUUAGAUACCCUGGUAGUCCACGCCGUAAACG